Long non-coding RNA from Cuculus canorus (common cuckoo), 207 nucleotides. RefSeq lists it as uncharacterized. The transcript is spliced from 3 exons. NCBI's taxonomy places the organism in Eukaryota, Metazoa, Chordata, Aves, Cuculiformes, Cuculidae. The record is from RefSeq and is a predicted model, not a curated record.
GGAAGGCAUAGCUGGUCCUCCUGGACUGCCAGGUCAACAAAUCAAAGGUGACGAGGUCUGCCAGGAGUCCCAGGAGAGAGAGGGGUGCAGGGAGGUCCUGGGAAGUCAGGGAAAAAGAUUAUACUACUUUGUAACAGAGUGAACCUGGAGAAAGGGGACAAUCUGGUGUUGCUGGAUCAUCUGUUAUCGGACCUGCUGGACCAAAGG